UACGUAGGGCGCAAGCGUUGUCCGGAAUUAUUGGGCGUAAAGAGCUCGUAGGCGGCCUGUUACGUCUGCUGUGAAAUCCCGGGGCUUAACCCCGGGCGUGCAGUGGAUACGGGCAGGCUGGAGGCAGGCAGGGGAGAACGGAAUUCCCGGUGUAGCGGUGAAAUGCGCAGAUAUCGGGAGGGACACCGGUGGCGAAGGCGGUUCUCUGGGCCUGUACUGACGCUGAGGAGCGAAAGCGUGGGGAGCGAACAGG
RNAcentral lists this ribosomal RNA (253 nucleotides) under uncultured bacterium. RNAcentral's name for it is "partial 16S ribosomal RNA". It matches the Rfam family "Bacterial small subunit ribosomal RNA", at positions 524 to 776 of the family's 1533-position model. The record is from RNAcentral.